AAUCAACGCUGGCGGCAUGCCUAACACAUGCAAGUCGAACGGGAAGUGGGAGCAAUCCCAUGAGUAUAGUGGCGCACGGGUGAGUAACACGUGACUAACCUACCCUCGAGUGGGGAAUAACCCCGGGAAACCGGGGCUAACACCGCAUAAUACCGCAAGGUCAAAUGCGCAAGCAGCUUGAGGAGGGGGUCGCGGUUGAUUAGCUAGUUGGUAGGGUAAUGGCCUACCAAGGCAGNGAUCAAUAGCCGGCCUGAGAGGGCGCACGGCCACACUGGAACUGGAAACACGGUCCAGACUCCUACGGGAGGCAGCAGUGGGGAAUUUUGCGCAAUGGGGGAAACCCUGACGCAGCAAUGCCGCGUGGAGGAUGAAGUCCUUUGGGAUGUAAACUCCUUUCGAUCGGGAA
This 406-nucleotide ribosomal RNA is filed under the name uncultured bacterium. RNAcentral's name for it is "bacterial SSU rRNA". It matches the Rfam family "Bacterial small subunit ribosomal RNA", at positions 32 to 446 of the family's 1533-position model. The record is from RNAcentral.